AUAUCAAUAAGCGGAGGAAAAGAAACCAACAGGGAUUGCCCCAGUAACGGCGAGUGAAGCGGCAACAGCUCAAAUUUGAAAUCUGGCUUCGGCCCGAGUUGUAAUUUGUAGAGGAUGCUUUUGGUGAGGUGCCUUCUGAGUUCCCUGGAACGGGACGCCAGAGAGGGUGAGAGCCCCGUAUAGUCGGCCACCGAUCCUCUGUAAAGCUCCUUCGACGAGUCGAGUAGUUUGGGAAUGCUGCUCAGAAUGGGAGGUAUAUCUCUUCUAAAGCUAAAUAUUGGCCAGAGACCGAUAGCGCAUAAGUA
RNAcentral lists this ribosomal RNA (305 nucleotides) under uncultured Metarhizium. Its description in RNAcentral is "partial large subunit ribosomal RNA". It matches the Rfam family "Eukaryotic large subunit ribosomal RNA", at positions 40 to 350 of the family's 3401-position model. Lineage: Eukaryota; Fungi; Ascomycota; Sordariomycetes; Hypocreales; Clavicipitaceae. The record is from RNAcentral.